Long non-coding RNA from Cygnus atratus (black swan), 880 nucleotides. RefSeq lists it as uncharacterized. The transcript has 2 exons. NCBI's taxonomy places the organism in Eukaryota, Metazoa, Chordata, Aves, Anseriformes, Anatidae. The record is from RefSeq and is a predicted model, not a curated record.
ACCAAGCGACCUACAGGUCCGCUGGCUUUGCAGUGAGCACACAGGGCAGUGCUGCUUGCGCGAAGCCCUUCCUUUGGCAGCCUUCUGGCCUCAGCCUCUGGCCUCAGCCUGUGCUGGUAAGCCACGAAAGCUGCGGUUUGUGUCCGAGCUCUUGGAGGAGGAAAGUAAGAGUCAUGGCAUUUUUUCUUUGAGUGCACGUGAGGUAUGGGGCAGCUGGAUGCCAAUCUGCUUUCCUGACAUAGCAGUUCUCCGACUAGUCUUGAGAAGCCUUCUCGCUUUUAAGUCUUUGGACUUUUUUUUUCUCUAAUCUGCUUUGUUUUCAUGUGACUGUUCUGGGUUUGGUGCAGCAGGACCCAUUGAAAGUCAUUAGUAUUGCUCUUCUUUUCCCCUCUCAAAGAAACUGUAAGCUUCUAGCACCUUUCUGUGUUUGUGUUCUUUUAAUGUCAAGCUGGUUUUGCCAUCUAGCAGACUCUAGAGGAGCGUAGCAAUACUGACUGCCCAUGCCGUGCAGCACAGGGAGCCCUUCCCUUGGAGAGGAACAAGAGGACGGACCCCAGCACCGUGCCGGUAGCGCUGAGCACAGCCCAGGUGCCCUUACGCUGCUCUCAAAUGCCGUGGAUGGACAGAACAGCAGCACGUGUAAAUCUGAUGUAUGUUGCAUUUAUAAAUGCACAGUCAUCGUAGCCUGCAUGCUGCAUGUGGGCUCCCCCUGGAAGAGGGAUGAAGCAAACAGGCGUGGAGACGUGGAAAAAGCUGUGACCCAUCUCCCUGCAAGGCUGCUGCAAGAGCCGGGGCGAUGCAAGGACAGCCGGUGGGCUCUGUGCACUGGGGUGCUGGCUCCUGGCAGGUGGUUAUCAUGGAAUAAAUUCAGUUAUCAGAA